This 497-nucleotide ribosomal RNA is filed under the name uncultured bacterium. RNAcentral's name for it is "partial 16S ribosomal RNA". It matches the Rfam family "Bacterial small subunit ribosomal RNA", at positions 28 to 507 of the family's 1533-position model. The record is from RNAcentral.
GAUGAACGCUGGCGGCGUGCCUAAUACAUGCAAGUCGAGCGAACAGACGAGGAGCUUGCUCCUCUGACGUUAGCGGCGGACGGGUGAGUAACACGUGGAUAACCUACCUAUAAGACUGGGAUAACUUCGGGAAACCGGAGCUAAUACCGGAUAAUAUAUUGAACCGCAUGGUUCAAUAGUGAAAGACGGUUUUGCUGUCACUUAUAGAUGGAUCCGCGCCGCAUUAGCUAGUUGGUAAGGUAACGGCUUACCAAGGCAACGAUGCGUAGCCGACCUGAGAGGGUGAUCGGCCACACUGGAACUGAGACACGGUCCAGACUCCUACGGGAGGCAGCAGUAGGGAAUCUUCCGCAAUGGGCGAAAGCCUGACGGAGCAACGCCGCGUGAGUGAUGCAGGUCUUCGGAUCGUAAAACUCUGUUAUUAGGGAAGAACAAAUGUGUAAGUAACUAUGCACGUCUUGACGGUACCUAAUCAGAAAGCCACGGCUAACUACGUG